RNAcentral lists this long non-coding RNA (2342 nucleotides) under Rattus norvegicus (Norway rat). RNAcentral describes it as "long non-coding RNA NONRATT011431". Lineage: Eukaryota; Metazoa; Chordata; Mammalia; Rodentia; Muridae. The record is from RNAcentral.
GAAGGAAAGGAUGCGCUAAUAAGCAUCGCAGGUUUGUCCUCAGUUUCUUUUGGGUCUGGCAGGCAUAGUGCCAUUUUACUUUAGUCUCUACACUUGAAAGGCAGGCAGAACUGUGAUUUGGAGGCUAGCCUGGUCUACAUAGUUCCAGGAGAGUUACCCUACCCCCUAAAACAAAACAAAGGAUCUGUUGCUCUGUCACUCAAGGCUAGGGUUCCCACUCUGGUGGGCAGUUUUUCUCCCUCGUCCUAAGGGGGUAAGCAUAAGCUGCUGCAAAGUGGAUGUGACCCGGAAGUGCAUCUCUCACUGUCCUCUCCUUUUCUCCCCUGAGGACUGAGACAUGCUCCUACGUUGGCCACCAGAGGUCAGAACAAACCCAGGAGCCAGUUAGGCAUGUCUACUAAGUAGGGACCCUGGAAGCCUUAUACUGGAAUCAAAGUAGCCAGACUGAAGGAUAGAAAGGCACAGAAAUGGAGGUGUUUAAAACAGUGUUCUUCCAGAAGACCUGGGCUUCAUUCUCAGCACCCACAUUGUAGCUCUGUGAUCCACUUGUUCUGCUGUCUGUGCGUAUACUUGUGGUACACAGACAUAUAUGUGGAUAAAACAUAUAUAUGCACAUGCAUACACUGUUUUUGAAGCAGGAGUGAAGUAGAAACUUACAGUUUCUUUGAAAAGUCAGUUGUGUUGGAUGGUGUUUUCUGGGGGAGACAUACAGAGUGUUUUCCUGAAGGGGACACCAGUGAAAGGAUGUUUUGCUAAGCAAACACAUGAAAGGACACGUGGUGUUAAGUAUUGCUACACUUCGCUAUUCCUUAAGCAUCGUUUGUUGUGACUUCAUAGAAGCACACCAAAAAGCUUGUAGUGAUCUGGUGAUGUCUUGCUACUUCCAUGGACACCAGCUGAUUGGCAGAGUGAUGUCAGCUGAUACAGAUUCCUGCGGAGUUUUGCUGAGGCAAGACCCAUGGGAGAACACAUGAUGUUUGGAGGGAGUAUAAAAAGGACUCAAUAGACAGUGAUGGGAGUAUGGGGGAGGGGCUUGCAUAGCUAGCUUCGCAGCACUUCGUUGGUCUCAUGUCUUCCUUGAUCUUCACUUGGUUGAGAGAGACACAGCAGAGAACUUCCGGCAUCCCUGCUGGUCCUGGUAGCUCCUGCUGACUCCUGUCCACUCAGCGGAGGCCUGGCUGUUUAUGCUAGGCUGAGCCACCACUGCUGAUUCGUGUUUGCUCUCCUGACUACUGAACUGGACUGCUGGUGUAUAUCCUUUCCAGCAGAUAGGAUUUGCUCCAAAGAACAAUUUCUUUUUUCUUUUCUUUUUUCUUUUAGUGUAGAAUAGAGUUUAUUCAGGGCACGGGGAGGGGAGUAGAAAGGGUAGAGAGACAGAGAAAGACAGAGAGAGUAGAGGAGUAGAGGCCAGCCAUGAGCAUGUGGAGAGAAAGGGGGAGGGGAAUGGGAAGAGAAGGGGAAGGGGAUGAGAAGAGGAAGGCAAGAGUCAAAAAACAAUCUCUAAACAGGUCCACUUCCCCAUGUCCUAAUAGCCUUUCCUUUCCACUACCUCUGGAGGGUGGUGGGCUAGAAGGGAGGUUAAAGCAUUUCAGAACUCUUAUUAAAAGUAGGUUUUGAAAAAUUGAAGCCUAUACAGGUUUUUUCCGUGUAGUCUGUCUGUCCUAGAACUUGCUCUGUAAACUAGGCUGGCCUGGAACUCAGAGAUCCACCUGCUUCUGCCUCCUCAGCCAUGGGAUUAAAGGUAUAACAAGUUAAAAAUGAAAAGAAAAAUGGGAAAUCUUGGAGGGCAUGCAAAGGAAAAGGAACCUGUUGCUCAGGAAUCUGAUUGAAGCCUCUUGCCAGUAGGAAAACAGGAAUUCCAGUCCAAUUACUAAGAGCUCAGGCCUUUCUCCCUUCUCAGGUACAAUCUGGAAUUUCCUCAGAAUCUCAUUUACAGGGAUAGGACAUGUACUGACCCCUGGUGGCUCUGGUUUCAUUUUAUAUUAUACUCCCAUUCAAAGUUUCUGCAGAGCCACCUCAUUUAUCUCCUUCAGAGGAUGAAGAUGGAGCCUGCAAGAGCUCACUGGCUCAAAGUGCUUACACCCACCCACCUGAAUUCAGUCCCCAGGAACCACGUGGUGGGGGAGGAGACUGAUUCCUGCAACUUGUCACCUGAACGCUUCACUGUGUAGUGGGCCCAUAUAAAAAAAAUUGUAAUGAAAUGUAGAGGGUUUUUUUCUUCUUCAGGCAACCAUGUGGCCCUCACUAGCCUGAAACUCACCCUGCCUGUGUUUCCUGAGUAGUGGUAUCUAAGGUGUGUGUUACUAUGCCCAGCAUUAAAGACUUAUUUUUAUUCAUGUGCA